UAUUAGGUUGGUGCAAAAGUAAUUGUGGUUCUUGCAAUAUUUUUAAUGGCAAAACCCACAAUUUCGUUUGCACCA
RNAcentral lists this microRNA precursor (75 nucleotides) under Pan paniscus (pygmy chimpanzee). RNAcentral describes it as "miRNA (ENSPPAG00000017055.1)". Lineage: Eukaryota; Metazoa; Chordata; Mammalia; Primates; Hominidae. The record is from RNAcentral.